AUCCGUGGCUAAAAUUUGCGGCAAAAUUUCCCUCCAAUUUCCACUGAAAUUUAGCCACGGAUUUAGGAGCCGUGGCUAAUUUAGUGACAAAUAAAUUAGCCACGGAUAUUAGCCACGGCAUUUAGCCCUGGCUAAUAAUGAUAAUAGGGUUAGGGUUAAUGUAAAUGUAAAUAAUUAGGGUUAGGGUUAAUGUAAAUCUAAA
RNAcentral lists this long non-coding RNA (202 nucleotides) under Zostera marina. Its description in RNAcentral is "long non-coding RNA (ZMAR_LNC004946)". The record is from RNAcentral. Lineage: Eukaryota; Viridiplantae; Streptophyta; Magnoliopsida; Alismatales; Zosteraceae.